RNAcentral lists this ribosomal RNA (329 nucleotides) under uncultured bacterium. RNAcentral's name for it is "bacterial SSU rRNA". It matches the Rfam family "Bacterial small subunit ribosomal RNA", at positions 568 to 898 of the family's 1533-position model. The record is from RNAcentral.
CAGGUAGGUGUUCCGCCAAGUUAGAAGUGAAAUCCUAAGGCUCAACCUUAGAACUGCUUCUAAAACUGGCGGGAUUGAGGCUGGAAGAGGAGAGCGGAAUUCCCGGUGUAAGGGUGAAAUCUGUAGAUAUCGGGAGGAACACCAGUGGCGAAAGCGGCUCUCUGGUCUAGUUCUGACGCUGAGCUGCGAAAGCUAGGGGAGCAAACAGGAUUAGAUACCCUGGUAGUCCUAGCCGUAAACGAUGAGCACUAGGUGUUGGGGAGUAAUCCUCAGCGCCGUAAGAUAACUCGUUAAGUGCUCCACCUGGGGACUACGACCGCAAGGUUAAA